Neopsephotus bourkii (Bourke's parrot) is the source of this 1564-nucleotide long non-coding RNA. RefSeq lists it as uncharacterized. The transcript has 3 exons. The record is from RefSeq and is a predicted model, not a curated record. NCBI's taxonomy places the organism in Eukaryota, Metazoa, Chordata, Aves, Psittaciformes, Psittacidae.
CAUAUUUUGUAUGUUUCCUCUGCUGGUGAGAUCAGCUGACAGUACUCAGUGCUUGAGGGGGACAAUUUCCUAAUAGAUAGAAAAAGAGCAUCCUAGUUCCAAGCACUUGUUAGAGGGUCUUUAAACCCCCAACCACAACACACUCUGGGGUGCAACAUGACUCAGUGUCUUUCACUGGUUCUUUGGUGACAUCACCAGUGACUAAAGGUUUUUCCCAAGCAGCAGAAAGCUUAACCCUUGAUUUACAGCAAGGACUGAUGUAUUAACACCAGCAGUAUUUCUCUUUUGCUGUUGCCAGUGUGUGGUACAGAUCAGUGAAGAGUUACUAUACUCCUGGGUUGAGGGGAAGAGACACAUGGGGGGAUGCAAGAAGCUGUCCUGCUAUUACAGAUGGGACAAAACAGGAGGCCAGCCAGCUUCCACUCAUAAUAAUCAGGAGCUUGUUAAGGGUUCUAAUCAAGCAGAAAUAUUUUCCCAUCAGCUCAUUACAAACUGUGACAAGGUUUCAGCUCUGGGUUGUGACUGCUUUUUGCCUUGCUGGAGGUAAUAAGGGCAUCUGCUGAAGGCUUUGGUAGCUCCUGUGGUAUGACAUGUGGAUGAUAUGGAGAGGGAAGGGGAGGAAAAGGGGGCAGGAGGCAGAGCCAGGAGUAGUGAGGCUGCUCCAAGGGGUAGGGUUGGUUUGCAUGGAGAAAGGUAGUGGCUAGCAGCAAAAGCUUUCAAGGAAAAAGGCACUUGGAAUCUGUUUGUGUUGGGGCAUUAAAUUAGAUUUACUUUAAUUUGGACAGAAGUACGGUAAUUUGAACAGUUCAUCCCAGCCUUCUAGUCUCCUGGCAACAGUGAAGAGCAGACCAUGCUGGGACCACUAUUUUAAUCAACCUAAUUGCAGGUCCUUUCUCUCCUCCCCCAGCAAUCAGCCUCCUGGGAGAUGGAAAACCCUUUUGAGCACGUCAUCUAAAGGACUUGGAGACUCUAGUUUGCCAUGCUGCAGUUGCACAUUGCUCAGAUCCGUGUAGUACUCUUGUUUCAUGUUCCCUACCUGUAAUCAAGGUGUUACUCUUUUGGGGGGGUUGCAUUUUUUCCCUGUUAUAUUAAAAUUAAUCUGUUGCUUCAACUUCACAAAAAAUUUUUCAGUGGCACAUUACCUUCCAAUGGGAGUGGUUUAUAUUUCUGACCUGUUUCCCUAAUCACCUCUCUGCUUGCCUAUUGUGUUCAGAAGGCCUCACUACCUCCUGCUCCUGUCCAUUCUCUACAAGUGCUUUCUUGCCUAUUCACAAUUGUGAAACAAUAAAUGUUUAGCGUACAAAACAUAUGAAGAUAAACAUCUACUGUGAUCAUGAGAAACAUCACCUGUUUUCAUCCUUUUUCUUAAAGAAAUGUAUAUUCUUCAAAUACUUCAUCAGGGGAGUUAGUUUAAUCCUCACCUUCUCAAGCUCCUGGACUUCUGCAGCCACCUGGGCUGCCUUUCCAGCAUGGUCAAUGAGAGAAAUCAGCCCUAGUGCUGACAUGGUGAAACAUCGCACAGUGGGACAUUCUGGUGUCCAGGAUGAUACUGUGAACAAGCUCA